CCUACGGGUGGCAGCAGUGGGGAAUAUUGGGCAAUGGGCGCAAGCCUGACCCAGCAACGCCGCGUGAAGGAAGAAGGCUUUCGGGUUGUAAACUUCUUUUGUCAGGGAAGAGUAGAAGACGGUACCUGACGAAUAAGCCACGGCUAACUACGUGCCAGCAGCCGCGGUAAUACGUAGGUGGCAAGCGUUGUCCGGAUUUACUGGGGGUAAAGGGCGUGUAGCCGGGUUUAUAAGUCAGAUGUGAAAUCCUUCGGCUUAACCGCAGAACUGCAUUUGAAACUGUUGAACUUGAGUACUGGAGAGGCAGGCGGAAUUCCUAGUGUAGCGGUGAAAUGCGUAGAUAUUAGGAGGAACACCAGUGGCGAAGGCGGUCCUCUGGACAGCAACUGACGGUGAGGCGCGAAAGCGUGGGGAGCAAACAGGAUUAGAUACCCUGGUAGUC
RNAcentral lists this ribosomal RNA (442 nucleotides) under uncultured bacterium. RNAcentral's name for it is "partial 16S ribosomal RNA". It matches the Rfam family "Bacterial small subunit ribosomal RNA", at positions 338 to 795 of the family's 1533-position model. The record is from RNAcentral.